AUACGGAGGAUGCAAGCGUUAUCCGGAUUUAUUGGGCGUAAAGCGUGUGUAGGCGGUUUGUUAAGUUUAAGAUUAAAGCCCGAGGCUUAACCUCGGUUCGUCUUAAAAACUGGCAGACUUGAGUGCAGUAGAGGCAAGUGGAAUUUCUAGUGUAGCGGUUAAAUGCGUAGAUAUUAGAAGGAACACCAGUGGCGAAGGCGGCUUGCUGGGCUGUUACUGACGCUGAGACACGAAAGCGUGGGGAGCAAAUAGGAUUAGAUACCCUAGUAGUCCACGCCGUAAACGAUGAGUACUAAGUGUCGGGUAACCGGUGCUGAAGUUAACACAUUAAGUACUCCGCCUGAGUAGUACGGUCGCAAGGCUGAAACUCAAAUGAAUUGACGGGG
Molecule: ribosomal RNA, 386 nt
Filed under: uncultured bacterium
Lineage: Bacteria
Description: partial 16S ribosomal RNA
Rfam family: Bacterial small subunit ribosomal RNA
Source: RNAcentral